RNAcentral lists this ribosomal RNA (1419 nucleotides) under Triticum aestivum (bread wheat). RNAcentral's name for it is "partial small subunit ribosomal RNA". The record is from RNAcentral. Lineage: Eukaryota; Viridiplantae; Streptophyta; Magnoliopsida; Poales; Poaceae.
AUGGAGAUGGUGGCGCUGCGGAGCCAGGAGGGCGUGGAUUUCGUGGUUCCCGCGGAGGAGGCCAGGGUGUCCAUGUUCUUACGUCGUAGGAUGGAGCUCGACCGCGAAAACUACAUCGUCCCCGCCGACGGCGACGAGACCAAGUAUACCCACAUCUUGCUCCGCUCCAUCCGAGCGGACGUCCUGCCCAAGGUUCUGCACUACUGCAAGAGGCACGCCAUUGCCACCGACGACGACCGGGACCUCGGCGACUGGGACGCGGAGUUCGUCGGCAGUGUCGACCUCGACACCCUCUACGAUCUCAUCCUGGCUUCGGAGAAGCUCGAGGUCCGAGGGCUCCUUGGUCUGGCCUGCCGGGCCCUCGCCGGCAAGAUCAAGGGGAAGUCGCCACGCGAGACCUGCCAUAUCCUCGACGUCAGGGGCGUCUUCGACGACGCCAAUCAUGACCUCAAGUUGGUGGAGAAGGCGUUGGCGGCUCUUAACAUAGUCCGUUGCCAGGACUUCACCCAAUACGAACCCAAGCUCAAUGCUUUCAAGUGUAGUCGAUACCACAAUUUUGAGAACCUAGCCUUCUUCGACUUCGACAAAGAAUCCAGCUUCCAACGUGGUCCGCCGCUCCACAAGUUACCUUCACCCGAGUCGAUCCAGCGAUAUUGCCUCAAUGUCAUUUCUGUCAAGGCGCGCGAAUCGGAUGUUGGCUAUCCGAUCAGUGUGUUUGGAACCGUUAUAGCGAGGGACUAUGUCGACUAUAGAUGCGUCUAUCUGUUUAGGCGUGAAAGGGAUGAUCCCCAGCUCAUCAGCUCUCCCGAUGAUAUGUUAUCUUUGGUAGAUCCAUGUCGAGCACUUGUUCCGAUAGACAACGUUUAUUUUGAGACUGAUUUAAAGAUCAAGUGUGAUGGAGGGGCAGAUAGAGUUUUCAGUAAAGGCAUAACGGAAUUCAAUUGGGUUUGCAUCCCUACAUACAAGCAAACCAUGGCGGUCAGUGUGUAUAGUUUCCUGAGUGACAUGGAGUUUUUAUGUGCACUGGUACACGAACCCGUGGAAGCCACCAUUGCAAUCAAUGUUUUGAAGGGGCCAUGUAAUAUCUCAAGAGUAGCCGCUUCGGCUCCCGGAAACUUCAAGGAUCAUGUCGUUCUAUACGAAUCAGCGGGCAGUCCGACGGUAGUCGGCGAUGGUGACUCCAUCCCGUUAACUCGGAGCGUGGUAGCUAUCUCUCUAGAUCAAAAGUUGGCGCUCUUCCUUGUUGGUGGUGACGCGUGUGAACACCUUGCUCUCACUCUAGGACAUUCCGAUCAAGUGCUUAUUCGCAAGAUGGGUUGUGCGGUGUUGGAGGUAAUAGUUGGUUGGACAUAUGUGCCGAGAAGAGAGAGGCCUAAUAUGUUUAAGGUUAUCGGAAAACAUACACGCCUCUUGCUGUGA